This 301-nucleotide ribosomal RNA is filed under the name uncultured bacterium. RNAcentral describes it as "partial 16S ribosomal RNA". It matches the Rfam family "Bacterial small subunit ribosomal RNA", at positions 509 to 807 of the family's 1533-position model. The record is from RNAcentral.
CAGCCGCCGCGGUAAUACGUAGGUGGCAAGCGUUGUCCGGAAUUAUUGGGCGUAAAGGGCUCGCAGUCGGUUUCUUAAGUCUGAUGUGAAAGCCCCCGGCUCAACCGGGGAGGGUCAUUGGAAACUGGGAAACUUGAGUGCAGAAGAGGAGAGUGGAAUUCCACGUGUAGCGGUGAAAUGCGUAGAGAUGUGGAGGAACACCAGUGGCGAAGGCGACUCUCUGGUCUGUAACUGACGCUGAGGAGCGAAAGCGUGGGGAGCGAACAGGAUUAGAUACCCCAGUAGUCCCUGUCUCUUAUAC